UACGGAGGAUGCGAGCGUUAUCCGGAUUUAUUGGGUUUAAAGGGUGCGCAGGUUGUUUGAUAAGUCAGUGGUGAAAGUCUGUCGCUUAACGGUAGGAUUGCCAUUGAUACUGUUGGACUUGAAUAUGGAUGAGGUAGGCGGAAUGUGUAGUGUAGCGGUGAAAUGCAUAGAUAUUACACAGAACACCGAUUGCGAAGGCAGCUUACUAAUCCAUCAUUGACGCUGAGGCACGAAAGCGUGGGGAGGCAAACA
This 252-nucleotide ribosomal RNA is filed under the name uncultured prokaryote. RNAcentral describes it as "partial 16S ribosomal RNA". It matches the Rfam family "Bacterial small subunit ribosomal RNA", at positions 524 to 774 of the family's 1533-position model. The record is from RNAcentral.